This 82-nucleotide transfer RNA is filed under the name Verrucomicrobiota bacterium. RNAcentral's name for it is "Verrucomicrobia bacterium tRNA-His". The stretch from base 13 to 71 matches the Rfam family "tRNA", at positions 9 to 63 of the family's 71-position model. From Rfam's summary of the family: Transfer RNA (tRNA) molecules are approximately 80 nucleotides in length. Their secondary structure includes four short double-helical elements and three loops (D, anti-codon, and T loops). Lineage: Bacteria; Pseudomonadati; Verrucomicrobiota. The record is from RNAcentral.
CUGGCUGUCGCGGGUUCAANNNGGUUAGAGCCCCAGAUUGUGGAUCUGGCUGUCGCGGGUUCAAAUCCCGUCGGCCACCCCA